Molecule: unclassified non-coding RNA, 328 nt
Filed under: soil metagenome
Description: partial contains 5.8S ribosomal RNA, internal transcribed spacer 2, and large subunit ribosomal RNA
Rfam family: 5.8S ribosomal RNA (bases 1-120)
Source: RNAcentral
GAUGAAGAACGUAGUGAAAUGCGAUAAGUAAUGUGAAUUGCAGAAUUCAGUGAAUCAUCGAAUCUUUGAACGCACAUUGCGCCACUUGGUAUUCCGAGGGGCAUGCCUGUUCGAGCGUCAUUAUAACCCCUCAAGCUCAGCUUGGUGUUGGGGCCUGCUGCACUGGCAGCCCUUAAAAUCAGUGGCGGCGCCAUCUGGCUCUAAGCGUAGUAAUUCUUCUCGCUAUGGAGUCCUGGUGGAUGCUUGCCAUCAACCCCCAAUUUUUCUAUGGUUGACCUCGGAUCAGGUAGGGAUACCCGCUGAACUUAAGCAUAUCAUAAGCGGAGGA